This 139-nucleotide ribosomal RNA is filed under the name uncultured Candidatus Sumerlaeota bacterium. RNAcentral describes it as "partial 16S ribosomal RNA". It matches the Rfam family "Bacterial small subunit ribosomal RNA", at positions 1247 to 1382 of the family's 1533-position model. The record is from RNAcentral. Lineage: Bacteria; Candidatus Sumerlaeota.
CUGCAAAGCCGGCGAGGCAGAAGCUAAUCUCAAAAAGCCGGUCUCAGUUCGGAUUGGAGUCUGCAACUCGACCCCAUGAAGUCGGAAUCGCUAGUAAUCGCGUAUCAGCCACGACGCGGUGAAUACGUUCCCGGGCCUU